This is a long non-coding RNA of Armigeres subalbatus, 668 nucleotides long. RefSeq lists it as uncharacterized. The transcript is spliced from 3 exons. Lineage: Eukaryota; Metazoa; Arthropoda; Insecta; Diptera; Culicidae. The record is from RefSeq and is a predicted model, not a curated record.
CUACACAAACAUGUUUAUCACUACUAUGCAUCAAACUAGUAACCCUAACUAUGAUAUUUUGUAAAACAACCGCAUUAUAGUUAUCAUAACUAUGUUUUGUUUACUAUUUAUACUAUUGCGCAUAGUAGUUUCAGCUGUGCAGCGUUUUUACGAAAAUAACUUUUCCCUUCUUCCAUAUUGGAAUUUUGACAAUCUCGAUUACCAGUUUUCGGACGGUUUAAACUGAACUAAGCAAUGAACUGUACUGGAUAUUUUGUGAUAAUGUUGCUGCUCAUUGCAACAUAGGUGAGGAGCUGCCUUAUAAGACCAUUUCAUAUGGCAAACUGAACAAAUUCUGCCGCAUACGGAAAAUGUUUUGCUAUCACCACUUCCGCAACCAUCCACGGAAAAGGUUGAAGAGACUUUUCCCGAGCUUCCCUCGGAUCAAAACCUUCCGAACGGAUGCCGCUGCUGCCGUUGUAGAAUCCACAGGACCUCACAACUGAAGGACACAUAGAAUGGUUUGUCUUCUGUUGCAGCGCAAAUUCAGAAGGAAUUCCGGAUUAAGCAUUACACCUCGGAAUUCUAACGUUAUGCAGCCGUUUUCCCAGUCGUAUGAAUUCUCCGGAAAAUUGAUUUAAUGAAAAAAAAAAGCAUGACGUAAAACGAUAAUAAAAAAUCUUACUGAA